Molecule: ribosomal RNA, 414 nt
Filed under: uncultured eukaryote
Lineage: Eukaryota
Description: bacterial SSU rRNA
Rfam family: Eukaryotic small subunit ribosomal RNA
Source: RNAcentral
GCUAUCUCUCGGGGUAGUCAGUUGAUUGUUAUAUCUCCACUAAUGAGCGGAGAGGAGUAAAAUCUUCAAAGUAAGUUAUGUGGAUCAAGGUAUGAUGAUUAAUUGGAGUUCUAGUUCAUUUACUUUGAGAAAAUUAGAGUGUUUAAAGCAGCCUCUUGGGGCACUGAAUACAUUAGCAUGGGAUAAUAAAAUAGGAUCUUCACAAUAUAUUUUAUUGGUUAAAUUGGAUAUGAAGAUAAUGAUUAAUAGGGACAGUUGGGGGUAUUCAUAUUGGGUGGUUAGCGGUGAAAUAGCUCGGAUCCAUUCAAGAUGAACUAAAGCGAAAGACAUUUACCAAGGAUGUUUUCAUUAAUCAAGAACGAAAGUUAAGGGAUCGAAGACGAUUAGAUACCGUCGUAGUCUUAACUAUAAACU